RNAcentral lists this ribosomal RNA (490 nucleotides) under uncultured bacterium. Its description in RNAcentral is "partial 16S ribosomal RNA". It matches the Rfam family "Bacterial small subunit ribosomal RNA", at positions 29 to 507 of the family's 1533-position model. The record is from RNAcentral.
AUUGAACGCUGGCGGUAGGCCUAACACAUGCAAGUCGAACGGUAACAGGAAGAAGCUUGGUUCUUUGCUGACGAGUGUCGGACGGGUGAGUGGUGUAUGGGAGAAUGUCUGUUUGAGGGGGGGAACUACUGGAAACGGUAACGAUUACAGCGUAACGUAGCAAGAGCAGAGAGGGGGACCUCCGGGCACCUUGCGCGCGGGUGUGCCCAGAUGGGAUUAGCUAGUGGGUGGGGUAACGGCCCACACAGGCGACGAUCCCUAGCUGGUCUGAGAGGAUGACCAGCCACACUGGAACUGAGACACGGUCCAGACUCCUACGGGAGGCAGCAGUGGGGAAUAUUGGACAAUGGGCGCAAGCCUGAUGCAGCCAUACCGCGUGGGUGAAGAAGGCCUUCGGGUUGUAAAGUACUUUCGGCGGGGAGGAAAAGAAUAAGGUUAAUACCCUGCUGCAUUGACGGUACCCAAAGAAUAAGCACCGGCUAACUCCGUG